CUCUACACCAGGUAGACAGGGAGAUCUCUACACCAGGUACACAGGGAGAUCUCUACACCUGGUAGACAGGGAGACCUCUACACCUGGUACACAGGGAGAUCUCUACACCAGGUACCCAGGGAGAUCUCUACACCUGGUAGACAGGGAGAUCUCUACACCUGGUAGACAGGGAGAUCUCUACACCAGGUAGACAGGGAGAUCUCUACACCUGGUAGACAGGGGGAUCUCUACACCUGGUAGACAGGGAGAUCUCUACACCAGGUUGGGAGGGAG
RNAcentral lists this long non-coding RNA (273 nucleotides) under Haliotis rubra (blacklip abalone). Its description in RNAcentral is "uncharacterized LOC124288150, transcript variant X1". Lineage: Eukaryota; Metazoa; Mollusca; Gastropoda; Lepetellida; Haliotidae. The record is from RNAcentral.